UACGUAGGUGGCAAGCGUUGUCCGGAUUUAUUGGGUUUAAAGGGUGCGUAGGUGGGUUGGUAAGUCAGUGGUGAAAUCUCCGGGCUUAACCUGGAAACUGCCAUUGAUACUAUCAAUCUUGAAUACCUUGGAGGUGAGCGGAAUAUGUCAUGUAGCGGUGAAAUGCUUAGAUAUGACAUAGAACACCAAUUGCGAAGGCAGCUCACUACACGGUCAUUGACACUGAGGCACGAAAGCGUGGGGAGCAAACAGG
RNAcentral lists this ribosomal RNA (253 nucleotides) under uncultured bacterium. RNAcentral's name for it is "partial 16S ribosomal RNA". It matches the Rfam family "Bacterial small subunit ribosomal RNA", at positions 524 to 776 of the family's 1533-position model. The record is from RNAcentral.